This 507-nucleotide ribosomal RNA is filed under the name uncultured bacterium. RNAcentral's name for it is "bacterial SSU rRNA". It matches the Rfam family "Bacterial small subunit ribosomal RNA", at positions 28 to 523 of the family's 1533-position model. The record is from RNAcentral.
GAUGAACGCUAGCUACAGGCUUAACACAUGCAAGUCGAGGGGAAACGAUAUUGGAAGCUUGCUUCCGAUAGGCGUCGACCGGCGCACGGGUGAGUAACGCGUAUCCAACCUGCCCAUCACUUGGGGAUAACCUUGCGAAAGUAAGACUAAUACCCAAUGAUAUCUCUAGAAGACAUCUGAAAGAGAUUAAAGAUUUAUCGGUGAUGGAUGGGGAUGCGUCUGAUUAGCUUGUUGGCGGGGUAAUGGCCCACCAAGGCGACGAUCAGUAGGGUUCUGAGAGGAAGGUCCCCCACAUUGGAACUGAGACACGGUCCAAACUCCUACGGGAGGCAGCAGUGAGGAAUAUUGGUCAAUGGGCGAGAGCCUGAACCAGCCAAGUAGCGUGCAGGAUGACGGCCCUAUGGGUUGUAAACUGCUUUUAUAAGGGAAUAAAGUGAGUCUCGUGAGACUUUUUGCAUGUACCUUAUGAAUAAGGACCGGCUAAUUCCGUGCCAGCAGCCGCGGUAA